Molecule: ribosomal RNA, 253 nt
Filed under: uncultured bacterium
Lineage: Bacteria
Description: partial 16S ribosomal RNA
Rfam family: Bacterial small subunit ribosomal RNA
Source: RNAcentral
UACGGAGGGUGCGAGCGUUGUUCGGAAUUAUUGGGCGUAAAGCGCGUGUAGGCGGUUUGUUAAGUCUGAUGUGAAAGCCCCGGGCUCAACCUGGGAAGUGCAUUGGAUACUGGCAGACUUGAAUACGGGAGAGGGUAGUGGAAUUCCUGGUGUAGCGGUGAAAUGCGCAGAUAUCAGGAGGAACACCGGUGGCGAAGGCGGGUCUCUGGACCGAUACUGACGCUGAGGCGCGAAAGCCAGGGGAGCAAACGGG